This 2888-nucleotide ribosomal RNA is filed under the name Salmonella enterica subsp. enterica serovar Enteritidis. RNAcentral describes it as "bacterial LSU rRNA". It matches the Rfam family "Bacterial large subunit ribosomal RNA". Lineage: Bacteria; Pseudomonadati; Pseudomonadota; Gammaproteobacteria; Enterobacterales; Enterobacteriaceae. The record is from RNAcentral.
UGCCCUGGCAGUCAGAGGCGAUGAAGGGCGUGCUAAUCUGCGAUAAGCGCCGGUAAGGUGAUAUGAACCGUUAUAACCGGCGAUACCCGAAUGGGGAAACCCAGUGUGACUCGUCACACUAUCAUUAACUGAAUCCAUAGGUUAAUGAGGCGAACCGGGGGAACUGAAACAUCUAAGUACCCCGAGGAAAAGAAAUCAACCGAGAUUCCCCCAGUAGCGGCGAGCGAACGGGGAGGAGCCCAGAGCCUGAAUCAGCAUGUGUGUUAGUGGAAGCGUCUGGAAAGGCGCGCGAUACAGGGUGACAGCCCCGUACACAAAAGCGCAUGUGCUGUGAGCUCGAUGAGUAGGGCGGGACACGUGGUAUCCUGUCUGAAUAUGGGGGGACCAUCCUCCAAGGCUAAAUACUCCUGACUGACCGAUAGUGAACCAGUACCGUGAGGGAAAGGCGAAAAGAACCCCGGCGAGGGGAGUGAAAAAGAACCUGAAACCGUGUACGUACAAGCAGUGGGAGCACCCUUUGGGUGUGACUGCGUACCUUUUGUAUAAUGGGUCAGCGACUUAUAUUCUGUAGCAAGGUUAACCGAAUAGGGGAGCCGGAGGGAAACCGAGUCUUAACCGGGCGUUAAGUUGCAGGGUAUAGACCCGAAACCCGGUGAUCUAGCCAUGGGCAGGUUGAAGGUUGGGUAACACUAACUGGAGGACCGAACCGACUAAUGUUGAAAAAUUAGCGGAUGACCUGUGGCUGGGGGUGAAAGGCCAAUCAAACCGGGAGAUAGCUGGUUCUCCCCGAAAGCUAUUUAGGUAGCGCCUCGUGAAUUCAUCUCCGGGGGUAGAGCACUGUUUCGGCUAGGGGGCCAUCCCGGCUUACCAACCCGAUGCAAACUGCGAAUACCGGAGAAUGUUAUCACGGGAGACACACGGCGGGUGCUAACGUCCGUCGUGAAGAGGGAAACAACCCAGACCGCCAGCUAAGGUCCCAAAGUCAUGGUUAAGUGGGAAACGAUGUGGGAAGGCCCAGACAGCCAGGAUGUUGGCUUAGAAGCAGCCAUCAUUUAAAGAAAGCGUAAUAGCUCACUGGUCGAGUCGGCCUGCGCGGAAGAUGUAACGGGGCUAAACCAUGCACCGAAGCUGCGGCAGCGACACUGUGUGUUGUUGGGUAGGGGAGCGUUCUGUAAGCCUGCGAAGGUGGCCUGUGAGGGUUGCUGGAGGUAUCAGAAGUGCGAAUGCUGACAUAAGUAACGAUAAAGCGGGUGAAAAGCCCGCUCGCCGGAAGACCAAGGGUUCCUGUCCAACGUUAAUCGGGGCAGGGUGAGUCGACCCCUAAGGCGAGGCCGAAAGGCGUAGUCGAUGGGAAACGGGUUAAUAUUCCCGUACUUGGUGUUACUGCGAAGGGGGGACGGAGAAGGCUAUGUUGGCCGGGCGACGGUUGUCCCGGUUUAAGCGUGUAGGUGUGUGUUCCAGGUAAAUCCGGUUCACUUUAACACUGAGGCGUGACGACGAGGCACUACGGUGCUGAAGCAACAAAUGCCCUGCUUCCAGGAAAAGCCUCUAAGCAUCAGGUAACAUCAAAUCGUACCCCAAACCGACACAGGUGGUCAGGUAGAGAAUACCAAGGCGCUUGAGAGAACUCGGGUGAAGGAACUAGGCAAAAUGGUGCCGUAACUUCGGGAGAAGGCACGCUGACACGUAGGUGAAGUGAUUUACUCAUGGAGCUGAAGUCAGUCGAAGAUACCAGCUGGCUGCAACUGUUUAUUAAAAACACAGCACUGUGCAAACACGAAAGUGGACGUAUACGGUGUGACGCCUGCCCGGUGCCGGAAGGUUAAUUGAUGGGGUCAGCGCAAGCGAAGCUCCUGAUCGAAGCCCCGGUAAACGGCGGCCGUAACUAUAACGGUCCUAAGGUAGCGAAAUUCCUUGUCGGGUAAGUUCCGACCUGCACGAAUGGCGUAAUGAUGGCCAGGCUGUCUCCACCCGAGACUCAGUGAAAUUGAACUCGCUGUGAAGAUGCAGUGUACCCGCGGCAAGACGGAAAGACCCCGUGAACCUUUACUAUAGCUUGACACUGAACAUUGAGCCUUGAUGUGUAGGAUAGGUGGGAGGCUUUGAAGUGUGGACGCCAGUCUGCAUGGAGCCGACCUUGAAAUACCACCCUUUAAUGUUUGAUGUUCUAACGUGGACCCGUUACCCGGGUUGCGGACAGUGUCUGGUGGGUAGUUUGACUGGGGCGGUCUCCUCCUAAAGAGUAACGGAGGAGCACGAAGGUUGGCUAAUCCUGGUCGGACAUCAGGAGGUUAGUGCAAUGGCAUAAGCCAGCUUGACUGCGAGCGUGACGGCGCGAGCAGGUGCGAAAGCAGGUCAUAGUGAUCCGGUGGUUCUGAAUGGAAGGGCCAUCGCUCAACGGAUAAAAGGUACUCCGGGGAUAACAGGCUGAUACCGCCCAAGAGUUCAUAUCGACGGCGGUGUUUGGCACCUCGAUGUCGGCUCAUCACAUCCUGGGGCUGAAGUAGGUCCCAAGGGUAUGGCUGUUCGCCAUUUAAAGUGGUACGCGAGCUGGGUUUAGAACGUCGUGAGACAGUUCGGUCCCUAUCUGCCGUGGGCGCUGGAGAACUGAGGGGGGCUGCUCCUAGUACGAGAGGACCGGAGUGGACGCAUCACUGGUGUUCGGGUUGUCAUGCCAAUGGCACUGCCCGGUAGCUAAAUGCGGAAGAGAUAAGUGCUGAAAGCAUCUAAGCACGAAACUUGCCCCGAGAUGAGUUCUCCCUGAGACUUAGAGUCUCCUGAAGGAACGUUGAAGACGACGACGUUGAUAGGCCGGGUGUGUAAGCGCAGCGAUGCGUUGAGCUAACCGGUACUAAUGAACCGUGAGGCUUAACCUUACAACGCCGAAG